AUUGAACGCUGGCGGCAGGCUUAACACAUGCAAGUCGAGCGGGGGAAGGUAGCUUGCUACCGGACCUAGCGGCGGACGGGUGAGUAAUGCUUAGGAAUCUGCCUAUUAGUGGGGGACAACAUCUCGAAAGGGAUGCUAAUACCGCAUACGUCCUACGGGAGAAAGCAGGGGAUCUUCGGACCUUGCGCGAAUAGAUGAGCCUAAGUCGGCUUAGCUAGUUGGGGGGGUAAAGGCCUACCAAGGCGACGAUCUGUAGCGGGUCUGAGAGGAUGAUCCGCCACACUGGGACUGAGACACGGCCCAGACUCCUACGGGAGGCAGCAGUGGGGAAUAUUGGACAAUGGGGGGAACCCUGAUCCAGCCAUGCCGCGUGUGUGAAGAAGGCCUUAUGGUCGUAAAGCACUUUAAGCGAGGAGGAGGCUACUCUAGUUAAUACCUAGGGAUAGUGGACGUUACUCGCAGAAUAAGCACCGGCUAACUCUGUGCCAGCCGCCGCCGUAA
Molecule: ribosomal RNA, 501 nt
Filed under: uncultured bacterium
Lineage: Bacteria
Description: partial 16S ribosomal RNA
Rfam family: Bacterial small subunit ribosomal RNA
Source: RNAcentral